RNAcentral lists this ribosomal RNA (253 nucleotides) under uncultured bacterium. RNAcentral's name for it is "partial 16S ribosomal RNA". It matches the Rfam family "Bacterial small subunit ribosomal RNA", at positions 524 to 776 of the family's 1533-position model. The record is from RNAcentral.
UACGUAGGGGGCUAGCGUUGUCCGGAAUCAUUGGGCGUAAAGCGCGCGUAGGCGGCCCGGUAAGUCCGCUGUGAAAGUCAAAGGCUCAACCUUUGAAAGCCGGUGGAUACUGCAUGGCUAGAGUACGGAAGAGGCGAGUGGAAUUCCUGGUGUAGCGGUGGAAUGCGCAGAUAUCAGGAGGAACACCAAUAGCGAAGGCAGCUCGCUGGGACGGUACUGACGCUGAGGCGCGAAAGCGUGGGGAGCGAACAGG